Molecule: ribosomal RNA, 649 nt
Filed under: Matsucoccus sp. IMV-2016
Lineage: Eukaryota; Metazoa; Arthropoda; Insecta; Hemiptera; Margarodidae
Description: eukaryotic LSU rRNA
Rfam family: Eukaryotic large subunit ribosomal RNA
Source: RNAcentral
GAAAAAUCAGCGGGGAAAGAAGACCCUGUUGAGUUUGACUCCAGUCUGGCAUUGUUCGGAGACAUGCCGGGGCGUAGCAUAAGUGGGAGGCGCGGAUCACGCGGCCGGCGUCGAGAGGCGUUGGUCGUGCCGCGGCGGCUUUGAAAUACCACUACUCGCAUCGUUUCCUUACUUACUCGGUGGUGCGGAACGCGUGCUGCGUGGUCCGUGGCGUUCGAGCGAGUCGGCGUUCGUUGCGCGCGCGUGCGCGUUCGAUCCUUCGCGGUCGUCGCGUUCGAGCGCGCGCGACGUCGGCUCUUCGUCGUCCGUAGUGACUCGCCGUAACGAUGAAUUCCCGGUCGAAUUAAGCGCGACCAGGGCGGCGGCCGUUCGCGCGGUCGUCGUCCGUUCGGUCGCGCGAUCCGAUUCGAGGACACCGCCAGGUGGGGAGUUUGACUGGGGCGGUACAUCUGUCAAAGAAUAACGCAGGUGUCCUAAGGCCAGCUCAGCGAGGACGGAAACCUCGCGUAGAGCAAAAGGGCAAAAGCUGGCUUGAUCUCGGACGCUCAGUACGCGUAGAGACUGCGAAAGCAUCGGCCUAUCGAUCCUCUCGUCCCGAGCUGAAGAGUUUUCAGCGAGAGGUGUCAGAAAAAUUACCACAGGGAUAACU